UACGGAGGAUGCAAGCGUUAUCCGGAAUGAUUGGGCGUAAAGCGUCCGCAGGUGGCUAUGUAAGUCUGCUGUUAAAGAGUGAGGCUCAACCUCAUAAAAGCAGUGGAAACUACAUGGCUAGAGUGCGUUCGGGGCAGAGGGAAUUCCUGGUGUAGCGGUGAAAUGCGUAGAGAUCAGGAAGAACACCAGCGGCGAAGGCGGGUAGCUGGGCCAACACUGACGCUGAUGUGCGAAAGCUAGGGGAGCAAACGGG
This 253-nucleotide ribosomal RNA is filed under the name uncultured bacterium. RNAcentral describes it as "partial 16S ribosomal RNA". It matches the Rfam family "Bacterial small subunit ribosomal RNA", at positions 524 to 776 of the family's 1533-position model. The record is from RNAcentral.